AAUCUUGCGCAAUGGGCGAAAGCGUGACGCAGUCAUGCCGUGUGAAUGAUUAAGGGCUUAGGAAUGUAAAAUUCUUUCACCGGGAACGAUAAUGACGGUACCCGGAGAAGAAGCACCGGCUAACCUCGUGCCAGCAGCCGCGGUAAUACGAAGGGAGCUAGCGUUGCUCGGAAUUACUGGGCGUAAAGGGCGCGUAGGCGGAUCGUUAAGUCAGGGGUGAAAUCCCGUGGCUCAACCUCGGAAUUGCCCUUGAUACUGGCGAUCUUGAGUAUGAGAGAGGUAUGUGGAGCUCCGAGUGUAGAGGUGAAAUUCGUAGAUAUUCGGAAGAACACCAGUGGCGAAGACGACAUACUGGCUCAUUACUGACGCUGAGGCGCGAAAGCGUGGGGAGCAAACA
RNAcentral lists this ribosomal RNA (397 nucleotides) under uncultured bacterium. RNAcentral describes it as "partial 16S ribosomal RNA". It matches the Rfam family "Bacterial small subunit ribosomal RNA", at positions 360 to 774 of the family's 1533-position model. The record is from RNAcentral.